UUCAGAUCGAAGGUCACUGAUACCUUCCGAACGUCCUUGCAUGGAAAGGUUUCAGGAGUAUCUAAUGGUUUUCCGCUUGCUUGCUUUAACUGACCUCCAACGUUUAGCCGUCAAAAUGUCGCCGUGGUUAAAAUUGUAAUCACUGAAUUUUGUCAAAAAUGUUUCGGUUACGCCGCCAUUAAAUAAAGUAAAGUACAUCAUCAUGAUGACCCGUCUUAUUUCCUUUGUCAGUAACUAUGGGUAAAAUAGUAUAACAUAGGAUAAAACUAUUGAAGAAGUCUUACCAAUUUUUAUAUUGUCGAUAGAUGGUAAUAUUAUUUUAUUAAACACUAAUUUUUGUCAAAGCCGAUUGAUAAUACUACCACUUUCAUUUUUUUCAUUUUUUUAUGUUAAUCAUUUUUCCAUAUCUUUUGGUAUGUUCAUUUCAAAAGCGAAACCGACACCUAUAUUGUGUGUUUAUCUGAGAAGACUCUUGAAAAAAAUAAAAUUUACACAAAUUGAUAUUAGAAGAUGUGGUAUGAGUGCCAAUGAAACAACUCUCUAUCCAAGUCACAAUUUGUUAAAGAAAAGCCUUCUAUUUUGUUUAAGGCCGUACGGUGACCUAUAGUUGUUAAUUUCUGUGUCAUUUUGGUCUCUUGUGGAGAGCUGUCUCAUUCAUACCACAUCUUCUUUUUUUUAUAUUCUAGAGCCUUUUUCCUCUCUAUCUAAAUUUCAGAGAGAAAACACUGUAAUUGCUCUUCAGAUUGGCAAAAACAUUGCUACAUAUUAUCACUGAUUCUCUCAUAUUGAACCAACCAUUUGGUUGCUUAGGCUAUCAGAUACACAUCUGAUCAUUAAUAACACCAGUCAACGAACAUAAUCCAAGUUUAUUAAGUGUUUCGUCCUCACCGAUCAAUUCAUUUGUAGAGUUGUCUUCCCUCAAGCCCGAUAAUUAAUUGAUGAUAAAACAAUGAUUGAAAUUGACAUGCUUAGAUGGUAAUUACCGUGUUAGGCGAGAUUGGAAUCAAUUUCAUCCUCCAAUCUGUAGCAAUAAGGGCCUAUCAUUAAGAUUUAAUUGUACGCUAAUUGGUUGAAUAGGAUGCUGGUCGGGAAAUAAGGCGGAUAACUCAAAUUAUUGCAGAAUCAAUUGUUCUUGUCAAUUUCCUAGAGAAUGAAUUAUUGUCAUCGGUUUAAUUGUCAAAGACAAGUUUGAAAUAAUGAAAUAAUAUAAUUCUUAUGUAUAAAAUACAGACUUUGAUCAAAAUGUAAAAAUUACUACAAACCAAAAAAAAAAUAAAAAAAAAAUAACC
Molecule: long non-coding RNA, 1289 nt
Filed under: Mytilus galloprovincialis (Mediterranean mussel)
Lineage: Eukaryota; Metazoa; Mollusca; Bivalvia; Mytilida; Mytilidae
Source: RNAcentral